CCCUUAGAUGUUCUGGGCCGCACGCGCGCUACACUGAUGCAUUCAACGAGUCUAAAACCUGCUCUGAUAGGGGUGGGUAAUCUUUUGAAUGUGCAUCGUGAUUGGGAUAGAUGAUUGAAAUUUUUCAUCUUCAACGAGGAAUGCCUAGUAAACGCAAGUCAUCAGCUUGCAUUGAUUACGUCCCUGCCCUUUGUACACACCGCCCGUCGCUCCUACCGAUUGAAUGAUCCGAUGAAUAUCAUGGAUUGAGGAUGCAAGUAGGUCCACCUAUCUUCAUCUUCGAGAAGUGAAGUAAAUCUUAUCAUUUAGAGGAAGGAGAAGUCGUAACA
RNAcentral lists this ribosomal RNA (329 nucleotides) under uncultured eukaryote. RNAcentral describes it as "partial 18S ribosomal RNA". It matches the Rfam family "Eukaryotic small subunit ribosomal RNA", at positions 1470 to 1796 of the family's 1831-position model. The record is from RNAcentral.